Molecule: ribosomal RNA, 750 nt
Filed under: uncultured bacterium
Lineage: Bacteria
Description: bacterial SSU rRNA
Rfam family: Bacterial small subunit ribosomal RNA
Source: RNAcentral
CAGGCCUAACACAUGCAAGUCGAGCGGACUUAUCCUUCGGGAUAGGUUAGCGGCGGACGGGUGAGUAACACGUAGGCAACCUGCCUGUAAGAUCGGGAUAACUACCGGAAACGGUAGCUAAGACCGGAUAGCUGGUUUCUCCGCAUGGGGGAAUCAUGAAACAUGGGGCAACCUAUGGCUUACGGAUGGGCCUGCGGCGCAUUAGCUAGUUGGUGGGGUAAUGGCCCACCAAGGCGACGAUGCGUAGCCGACCUGAGAGGGUGAUCGGCCACACUGGGACUGAGACACGGCCCAGACUCCUACGGGAGGCAGCAGUAGGGAAUCUUCCGCAAUGGGCGCAAGCCUGACGGAGCAACGCCGCGUGAGUGAUGAGGGUUUUCGGAUCGUAAAGCUCUGUUGCCAAGGAAGAACGCCUCGGAGAGUAACUGCUCUGAGGGUGACGGUACUUGAGAAGAAAGCCCCGGCUAACUACGUGCCAGCAGCCGCGGUAAUACGUAGGGGGCAAGCGUUGUCCGGAAUUAUUGGGCGUAAAGCGCGCGCAGGCGGUCUUUUAAGUUUGGUGUUUAAGCCCGGGGCUCAACCCCGGUUCGCACUGAAAACUGGGAGACUUGAGUGCAGGAGAGGAAAGCGGAAUUCCACGUGUAGCGGUGAAAUGCGUAGAGAUGUGGAGGAACACCAGUGGCGAAGGCGGCUUUCUGGACUGUAACUGACGCUGAGGCGCGAAAGCGUGGGGAGCAAACAGGAUUAGAU